AGAGGCAUAGUCCCCACUGCACAGAGGCGGGUCUGAGGCUCGGCGACGCCGCCCGCGGGCCCCGCGCCAGGGCCGGGAGAGGGUCCGCCGUGCCCUGGUCCCACUUGUCCCGCGGCUCCCGGCGCCUCUCCGCCCACAGUCCUAUGGCGGCGGCGGCGGCACUGAGGCACCAGCCUCAGGUAAACGGUCGUCCUUCGGGCCCUCACCCCACCAGGCACUAAAGCCCCGAAUGCGGGGCACCUGCCCAUGUGCCCGCAGCCCACGCCGCGGUGUCCUGGACGGUGAGGCGGUCGUGGGUGGGGCUCAGUUUCCGACAGUGUGAUAGUGCGUGGGAGAGGGUGGCAGGCGGAGGGACCGGCAGGUGCAAAGGCUGGGAGGUCGGAUUGAGCCGGGAGGAUUCGGGAAACCUGGGGUCCAUCAGAUGUCUGCAGGACACAAAGAAGGUGAAGCGGAGUCAUACCCGGACUGUCAGGCUGAGGGUUGUAUCUUUAUUGUGAGGACCUAAGAAGGCAUGGAGAAUUUUGAACAAAAGGGGAACAGGAUUUACAUUAGCGUUUUAAAUGUUUCCCAAGGCCCUUCAAAGGAAAAACAGAUUUGAGGGGAGUGAUGAGGAUAUUGAGGCACUAGGUGGUUGAAUCUUUGUUCAAGGCCAUACUGCUGGUAAAGGGUGAUACAGAGCACCGAGGAACAGGGGUCAAACGACCAACCUGAAGUCGUCUGGCUCCGAGGCCAGGCAAGGAAGGAAACAGGGUGGCAUGAGCCUCAACGUUUCUAACCCACAAUUACCUUCUUCUAAGGCCUGUCUCUUCCCACAGAGUCCGAAGACUGCAGAAAUACUUAUGGAAACAAAACUGGCAACUCUGGGUGCUUUCCCAUUGCGGAGCACAGGCCCCGGAUGCGCAGGCUCAGCGGCCAUGGCUGACGGGCCCAGCCGCUCCGCGGCAUGUGGGAUCCUCGCGGACCAGGGCAUGAACCCGUCUCCCCUGCAUCGGCAGGCGGACUCUCAACCACUGCGCCACCAGGGAAGCCCAGCAAAGUUUUAUUUUUAAGGCCUAAAAUAAAGGCCCAUUAUCAUGUGCUGCCUUGACAUCUAAUAAAACCUGGAGUGGCUCAAAUGGCCUGAAUGGGGUUUCCGUUCUAUACUGGCCUGCAGAGUUAUUCAGACAAGCCAUUUGCAUCAUCCUCUAGUAACCAGGUUGUACCCCGACCUCUUGAUCUUACAAAACUUCCACCACACAACCCCUGGUGGGUUUUUUUUUUUUCCAGUGUACAACAUUCAUGUGGCCCUGUAUGGUAUGUGAUGUCCUUCUCUCCCAGGCUGUAUCUCUAAUUAAUAAACUG
Kogia breviceps (pygmy sperm whale) is the source of this 1341-nucleotide non-coding RNA. The record is from RefSeq and is a predicted model, not a curated record. NCBI's taxonomy places the organism in Eukaryota, Metazoa, Chordata, Mammalia, Artiodactyla, Physeteridae.